This 71-nucleotide transfer RNA is filed under the name Marmota monax (woodchuck). RNAcentral's name for it is "tRNA.Ala". It matches the Rfam family "tRNA". From Rfam's summary of the family: Transfer RNA (tRNA) molecules are approximately 80 nucleotides in length. Their secondary structure includes four short double-helical elements and three loops (D, anti-codon, and T loops). Lineage: Eukaryota; Metazoa; Chordata; Mammalia; Rodentia; Sciuridae. The record is from RNAcentral.
GGGGUUGUGGCUCAGUGGUAGAGCACUCACCUGGCAUGUCGGAGGCCCUGGGUUCAAUCCUCAGCACCACA